GACGAACGCUGGCGGCGUGCUUAACACAUGCAAGUCGAACGGAAGGGCCCUGCUUUUGUGGGGUGCUCGAGUGGCGAACGGGUGAGUAACACGUGAGUAACCUGCCCUUGACUUUGGGAUAACUUCAGGAAACUGGGGCUAAUACCGGAUAGGAGCUCCUGCUGCAUGGUGGGGGUUGGAAAGUUUCGGUGGUUGGGGAUGGACUCGCGGCUUAUCAGCUUGUUGGUGGGGUAGUGGCUUACCAAGGCUUUGACGGGUAGCCGGCCUGAGAGGGUGGCCGGCCACAUUGGGACUGAGAUACGGCGCAGACUCCUACGGGAGGCAGCAGUGGAGAGUAUUGCACAGUGGGCGGGAGCGUGAUGCAGCGACGCCGCGUGCGGGAUGACGGCCUUCGGGUUGUAAACCGCUUUCGCCUGUGACGAAGCGUGAGUGACGGUAAUGGGUAAAGAAGCACCGGCUAACUACGUG
Molecule: ribosomal RNA, 468 nt
Filed under: uncultured bacterium
Lineage: Bacteria
Description: partial 16S ribosomal RNA
Rfam family: Bacterial small subunit ribosomal RNA
Source: RNAcentral